CUGUCUCCGGUACGAGUCUCUCCGUUGAUAGACGCCGUAGGGGAAGUAUCGUCCCGAGGAGUAGCGUCGCGGUGCCUCGACUGCGUGGAAAGAGUGUAGCCGGCGUUGCUCGAAGGUCAUUAUCGAACCAAAGCGGCACGCCGAAGAUGUCGGAGGGGAACGUGAAACCAGAGCCGCAGGCCAACACCCCGGCGAAGGCGGCUAACGAAAAUGCCCAGGAACGUGCACCUGGAGGAGGCGGCGGUGGCGGAGGUGGAGGCGGCGGCGGCGGCGGCGGAGGAAAUGUCGGCGGAGGACCCGGAGGUGGCGGCGGCGGCGGUGGCCGCGGAGGCGGAGGUCGUGGCCGAAAAGGAGGUUCGCGAUUUUCCGGAGGCCGAGGAGGCGGCCCCGGAGGCGGUGGAAGACCCAACGAAGCCAUGAUGAAAAUGAAUGACACGAUGGAGGGGAAUAUGGAUAGUUUAUUGUCCGAGGGUAUGGGUAUGACUGGAGGUAUGAUGGGCAUGGGUCGUGGAUCCAUGCGUGGCGGUAGAGGUGGCCGAGGCGGAGACAGAGGAGGCAUGACAAAUCGUUCACAAGAUGAACGAUUAAUGGAGAGGAUAAUGUCCAUCAGUGGACCUACACAUGAACUACCACCGCAAGAUACCACAGAAAAGAAAUUUAGUGGCCGUAAUCGGUUGUAUGUUGGAAAUCUGACAAAUGAUGUUACAGAACAAGAAAUUCAGCAAAUGUUUGCGCCAUAUGGAGAGGUUUCUGAAAUGUUUGUCAACAAAGAAAAGAAUUUUGCAUUCCUUCGCAUGGAUUAUCGAGUAAAUGCUGAGAAAGCAAAACAUGAACUAGAUGGUACGAUGCGUAAAGGACGUGCUAUCAAAGUUCGAUUUGCACCUCACUCAUCAACCAUUAAAGUGAAAAAUCUUACGCCAUGGAUUUCCAAUGAACUACUAGAACGAGCUUUCAGUGUAUUUGGAGAAAUUGAACGAGCUAUUGUUAUUGUGGAUGAACGUGGAAAAACUUCGGGUGAAGGAAUAGUCGAGUUUUGUAGAAAACCUUGUGCUCAGCUGGCUUUGAGGAAGUGCACGGAUGGCUGUUAUUUUCUCACAGCUUCUCUACGUCCAGUCGUCGUGGAGCCAUUCGAACAGCAAGAUGAUGUGGAUGGAUACCCAGAAAAGAAUUUACCCCGUAAAAAUCCAGAAUUUUUCAAAUCUCGUGAUGUUGGUCCUCGAUUUGCCCAAAUUGGUAGUUUUGAGCAUGAAUACGGAACCAGAUGGAAACAGCUUCAUGAAUUAUAUAAACAAAAAGAGGAAGCUUUAAAAAGAGAAAUGGCAAUGGAAGAAGAAAAGCUUGAGGCACAGAUGGAAUUUGCGAGAUAUGAGCAUGAGACUGAACUUCUUCGAGAACAAUUAAGAAUACGCGAAGCCGAUCGUGAGAGGCAGAAGAGAGAAUGGGAACUCAAGGAGCGACAAGCUGAAGAGCAGCGAACUCGUGAAGAAGAAUUACGGAGAAGACAGCAAGAAGAGAUGGCUAUUCGAAUUAGAAGGCAGGAAGAAGAACUACAUAGACGCCAACAGGAAAAUAAUAUGUUUAUGCAGGAGCAAGCAAUGCGAGGAGGUAGUGGUAGUGGAAAGAAUUACGAUUCCGUCAGUAAUAGUGAUCGAGAUGGAUAUGGUCAAGCUGAUGGUGCGAGCAACUUACCGGUGACGCUGAUAGCAGCUGCUGGUUGACGCACCUGUGAAUUUCACUUUCAGAUUGAAAAUCCCCUGACGGUUUAUUGAUGAUCGUGAACGUCAAUUUUGCAGCUCCUACUUCGUUGAUGAGAAAGGACGGGAGUCGGGUGUCACGCGAGAUGACUUUUCUGUAGGAAACCGAAACAUACUCAACGCUAUAAUUAUACAAAAAAAAAGAAGAGCAAGGACGGGAGUCGGGUGUCACGCGAGAUGACUUUUCUGUAGGAAACCGAAAUACACUCAACGCUAUAAUUAUACCAAAAAAAAAAGAAGAGCAAGGACGGGAGUCAGGUGACACGAGAUGACCUUUCUGUGGGAAACUGAAACUUACUCAACAUUGUAAUUUUACACGAAGGUUGAAUUCCGGGAGUGUGAUGGUGGCAGAAGACAAAGCAAAUCGAAACAACAUUAGUAAAACGUUCCCAGUGAUUUUUUUUUUUUUUCGGGACACUUUUGUGCGUUAUACUACCAAUAUUUAUGCUCUCUGCCGGUGUCGUUAUGGUAACGGCUGAUUCUCUCAAGAUGCGCUGAAAUGAUUAACUAUGUGACAAUGAAAUAAAGAACCCCAUUACCAUGA
This 2298-nucleotide unclassified non-coding RNA is filed under the name Orussus abietinus. RNAcentral's name for it is "hrp65 protein, transcript variant X1". Lineage: Eukaryota; Metazoa; Arthropoda; Insecta; Hymenoptera; Orussidae. The record is from RNAcentral.